GCAUAUUAAUCAGCGGAGGAA
Molecule: ribosomal RNA, 21 nt
Filed under: uncultured Tulasnellaceae
Lineage: Eukaryota; Fungi; Basidiomycota; Agaricomycetes; Cantharellales; Tulasnellaceae
Description: partial 28S ribosomal RNA
Source: RNAcentral